CCUACGGGUGGCAGCAGUGGGGAAUAUUGGGCAAUGGGCGCAAGCCUGACCCAGCAACGCCGCGUGAAGGAAGAAGGCUUUCGGGUUGUAAACUUCUUUUCUCAGGGACGAAGCAAGUGACGGUACCUGAGGAAUAAGCCACGGCUAACUACGUGCCAGCAGCCGCGGUAAUACGUAGGUGGCAAGCGUUAUCCGGAUUUACUGGGUGUAAAGGGCGUGUAGGCGGGACUGCAAGUCAGAUGUGAAAAUCACGGGCUCAACCUGUAGCCUGAAUUUGAAACUGUAGUUCUUGAGUACAGGAGAGGCAGACGGAAUUCCUAGUGUAGCGGUGAAAUGCGUAGAUAUUAGGAGGAACCCCAGUGGCGAAGGCAGUCUGCUGGACAGCAACUGACGCUGAGGCGCGAAAGCGUGGGGAGCAAACAGGAUUAGAUACCCGGGUAGUC
Molecule: ribosomal RNA, 443 nt
Filed under: uncultured bacterium
Lineage: Bacteria
Description: partial 16S ribosomal RNA
Rfam family: Bacterial small subunit ribosomal RNA
Source: RNAcentral